RNAcentral lists this ribosomal RNA (429 nucleotides) under Pseudomonadota bacterium. RNAcentral describes it as "Proteobacteria bacterium partial 16S ribosomal RNA". It matches the Rfam family "Bacterial small subunit ribosomal RNA", at positions 355 to 776 of the family's 1533-position model. The record is from RNAcentral. Lineage: Bacteria; Pseudomonadati; Pseudomonadota.
UGGGGAAUAUUGGACAAUGGGCGAAAGCCUGAUCCAGCCAUGCCGCGUGUGUGAAGAAGGUCUUCGGAUUGUAAAGCACUUUAAGUUGGGAGGAAGGGCAGUAAGCGAAUACCUUGCUGUUUUGACGUUACCGACAGAAUAAGCACCGGCAAACUCUGUGCCAGCAGCCGCGGUAAUACAGAGGGUGCAAGCGUUAAUCGGAAUUACUGGGCGUAAAGCGCGCGUAGGUGGUUCGUUAAGUUGAAUGUGAAAGCCCCGGGCUCAACCUGGGAACUGCAUCCAAAACUGGCGAGCUAGAGUAGGGCAGAGGGUGGUGGAAUUUCCUGUGUAGCGGUGAAAUGCGUAGAUAUAGGAAGGAACACCAGUGGCGAAGGCGACCACCUGGGCUCAUACUGACACUGAGGUACGAAAGCAUGGGGAGCAAACAGG